RNA transcript from Lagenorhynchus albirostris (white-beaked dolphin), 2752 nucleotides. It is a transcript of the gene named isoprenylcysteine carboxyl methyltransferase, with no coding region annotated. The record is from RefSeq and is a predicted model, not a curated record. Lineage: Eukaryota; Metazoa; Chordata; Mammalia; Artiodactyla; Delphinidae. The transcript has 6 exons.
CGAGGCUACAGUUGGGGCCGCCGCCCGCUGGUCCGCCGCCCUGCGCCAUGGCGGGCUGCGCGGCGCGGGCUCCGCCGGGCUCCGAGGCGCGCCUCAGCCUCGCCACCUUCCUGCUGGGCGCCUCGGUGCUCGCGCUGCCACUGCUCACGCGCGCCGGCCUGCAGGGCCGCACCGGGCUGGCGCUCUACGUGGCUGGACUCAACGCGCUGCUGCUGCUGCUCUACCGGCCGCCGCGCUACCAGAUAGCCAUCCGAGCCUGUUUCCUUGGCUUUGUGUUUGGCUGUGGAGUGCUACUCAGUUUUAGCCAGUCUUCUUGGAAUCACUUUGGCUGGUAUAUGUGCUCCCUGUCAUUGUUCCACUAUUCUGAGUACUUAGUCACAGCAGUCAAUAAUCCCAAGAGUCUGUCCCUGGAUUCCUUUCUCCUGAAUCACAGUGUGGAGUAUACAGUGGCAGCUCUUUCCUCUUGGAUAGAGUUCACACUUGAAAAUAUCUUCUGGCCAGAACUGAAGCAGAUCACCUGGCUCAGCGCCACGGGGCUGCUGAUGGUGGUCUUUGGAGAGUGUCUGCGGAAAGCGGCGAUGUUUACAGCUGGUUCCAAUUUCAACCACGUGGUGCAGAAUGAAAAGUCAGACACCCACACUCUGGUGACAAGCGGAGUAUACGCUUGGUUCCGGCAUCCUUCUUAUGUUGGGUGGUUUUACUGGAGUAUCGGAACCCAGGUGGUGCUGUGUAACCCCAUCUGCGGCGUGAGCUACGCUCUGACAGUGUGGCGCUUCUUCCGCGACCGGACAGAGGAGGAGGAGAUCUCGCUGAUUCACUUUUUUGGAGACGAGUACCUGGAGUAUAAGAAGCGGGUGCCCACGGGCCUGCCUUUCAUAAAGGGGGUCAAGGUGGAGCUAUGAUAGGCCCGGGCGGCCCAGGCCAGGCUGGGGCCCCCCCACUCCAGGCAGCGUGGGACGGAACUGCUUCCUGUCGGCCACGCUGCAGAACGGACUUUCUUAAAUCAUUUUGUGUGUCACCAGUGACUCUUCUGGAAUAUCACUCAAGAUCAAAUGGUCAGAAGGCCUUAGGACCAAAGGACCCCACUCCCACCCCCACUCCCACCUCCCCGCUGCCCGGAGCAGCCUGUUCCCGGGCUGCAUCAAGAGGUUUACAGGUUCAUCGGUGACAGGUGUGACAUUUGCUGGUUUGAGGACCGGACAGAUUCCAGCCUCGGCCUCCUGAGGUCUCGCAGGCAGACAGCCCAGGCAGCAGCCAGGGUCUCGCGGCAGAUUCUUCUGGCGGGAACACUGCCCGGCGGGACGUCAACAUGCACUUACUGUGUUUGAGGACUUGAGUCAGUGCUAAACUUGUUCUGCAGACCACUCCUAGUGAAAUACACUCCCCUUCAUAGGAUUGCAAAACUGAGGAGGGUGUAGCUGGGGUUUUGGCGGCCACCCCCAGCUCUUUGAGGGAAAGUCCUUUCUUGCUGCAUCUAGCAUGUUAGGACCCAGCUUUCAUUACCACUGGGGGUCGUGAAGUUGUCUCUUCAGCAGAUGGAGAGGAGCUAGUGACGACCCUGGCUUUGUGGACAGUAAGGCCGGAGGUGUUGGCCUCUGACGGUCCGUCCUUCCUCUGCCGGCCUGCCAGGCCUGGAGCUCAGGAGGCAGGCCCUGGUGUCGGCAGGGAGAUGUUGCUGUCACACCACCUGGGCUGGACGUGACAUUCUGCUCUGCUUGAAAGAGCAGUUCCACAAGCAAGUUCCCACCCUGAUUUGUAACCCAGGGCGGAAGUCCGCAAUUACUUGGGGAUCAGAGAUGAACUACUUAGGGGCAGGAUUUGGCAAGUGAUUGACUUUCAUCUAGCACUGAGAUCUUCAGGUUAUUUUUACCUUUAUAAGUUCAGCAGUGACAGCGCACAAGGAAGAGAAUGAGGUUAAUGGGGUACAGGCUUCUUGGGUAUUCCCGAAAGCUUAUUUUGGGUAAAGGCCACAUCACCGGUCCCCUCAAAUUAAGAAACCGUCAGGAGAUUUCUUUUUCCAUUGCAGGUUUCAAAGCGGAGACUCUGAAAUGGAAAAUAGGCACUGCACAGAACAAAGCUAUUUUGAAGCAGUGCAAAAUGAAACACUUCACGAGGGUUUGCAGGCUGGGGCCGAGACCGGCGGUUUACUGAAACGAGGUUGUAGGUGAGCCUGGCAGAGGGCAGGAGGCAGCGCACCCCGCCGGCCCUUCAUUGUCAUAAACUGCUGCAUAAACCUACAAAGUGAACUUUAUCAAUCCCUUCCACUUAUUUAGCACUCUGGGUGAUUAACAUGAUGGGGGAACAUCGCUAAACCCACCGCUUGUGUUGACACGUGAGGUUCCGUAGGGUCUCGACUGCAGCUCCGUUUGGUCGCAGCCCCUCUGUGACAGGAACAGUGAACCACUGUCCCUUCUCUGCACUUUCUUACUGCCUUAGAUAGUUGUGCCCUCCCUCUGUGUUUUGCUUCUGCAGUGACUUGGUGAGGCCAGGCGACCCCAGCCUGUCUGGCAUGGUGCGAGAGGCUUGCUGUCUGUGCCCCGCUGUGGGGGCCUGACGCCCUGUCCUGGGCUCGGUCCCAAGCGCUUGCCCCUGCAGGACUGUCCCCUAGCUUAGGCUAGGAGAGUAACCUAAUGGGGUAAUUACUCUUCUUUUUACAUGCAGAAAUGUUUAUUUAAAUAUUGGAUUUUCUUUCACAGAAAUUAUUUCCAAUGCUUAAAUAAAACUGUACUUGAUUUCACUAUGAACAAUAGUA